This 310-nucleotide ribosomal RNA is filed under the name Adelphobates castaneoticus (Brazil-nut poison frog). Its description in RNAcentral is "partial 12S ribosomal RNA". It matches the Rfam family "Bacterial small subunit ribosomal RNA", at positions 875 to 1356 of the family's 1533-position model. The record is from RNAcentral. Lineage: Eukaryota; Metazoa; Chordata; Amphibia; Anura; Dendrobatidae.
GGGAACUACGAGCUAAGCUUAAAACCUAAANGACUUGACGGUACCCCAUAUCCCCCUAGAGGAGCCUGUCCUUUAAUCGACAAUCCCCGUUUUACCUCACCAUUUUUUGCUAAAUCAGCCUGUAUACUUCCGUCGUCAGCUUACCACGUGAGCGUCAGUGAGCCCAAUGUUUUUUCAACUACACGUCAGGUCAAGGUGCAGCACAUGAAAUGGAAAGAGAUGGGCUACACUCUCUAAUAUAGAGAAUACGAAAAACUUUAUGAAAUCUAGUCAAAAGGUGGGAUUAAGAAGUAAAAAGGAAUCAGAAGAG